This 616-nucleotide ribosomal RNA is filed under the name Hippolyte sapphica. RNAcentral describes it as "bacterial SSU rRNA". It matches the Rfam family "Eukaryotic small subunit ribosomal RNA", at positions 21 to 617 of the family's 1831-position model. Lineage: Eukaryota; Metazoa; Arthropoda; Malacostraca; Decapoda; Hippolytidae. The record is from RNAcentral.
UAGUCAUAUGCUUGUCUCAAAGAUUAAGCCAUGCAUGUGUCAGUACAGGCCGUUCUAAGGCAAAACCGCGAAUGGCUCAUUAAAUCAGUUAUCACCUACCGGGUCAUAUCCUAACUUACUUGGAUAACCCUGGUAAUUCUAGAGCUAAUACGUGAACACGAACACCCCGACCGCAAGGGAGGGGUGCUCUUAUCAGAUUUAGAAACCAACCAGGCCUCGGUCUGUCAAAUGAACUAUGCUGAAUUCUAGAUAAUUUAUAGCCGAGAGCACGGUCUCCGCACCGGCUCCGUACCCCUCGAGUUUCUGCCUUAUCAUGCUGUGGAUUGUAGGCCACGCGCCUACAAUGGCUGUAACGGGUGACGGGGAAUCAGGGUUCGAUUCCGGAGAGGGAGCCUGAGAAACGGCUACCACAUCCAAGGAAGGCAGCAGGCACGCAAAUUACCCAAUCCCAGCUCUGGGAGGUAGUGACGAAAAAUAACAAUGCGGGACUCUUCCGAGUCUGCGUAAUUGGAAUGAGAACACUUUAAAUCCUUUACCGACAACCAAUUGGAGGGCAAGUCUGGUGCCAGCAGCCGCGGUAAUUCCAGCUCCAAUAGCGUAUAUUAAAGUUGUUGCG